UGGCGGACGGGUGAGUAACGCGUGAGAAUCUACCAUUAGGUCGGGGACAACCAUUGGAAACGAUGGCUAAUACCGGAUAAGCCCGAGGGUAAAAGAUUAAUUGCCUAAUGAAGAGCUCGCGUCUGAUUAGCUAGUUGGUGAGGUAAAGGCUCACCAAGGCAUCGAUCAGUAGCUGGUCUGAGAGGAUGACCAGCCACACUGGGACUGAGACACGGCCCAGACUCCUACGGGAGGCAGCAGUGGGGAAUUUUCCGCAAUGGGCGAAAGCCUGACGGAGCAAGACCGCGUGAGGGAGGAAGGCUCUUGGGUUGUAAACCUCUUUUCUUGGGGAAGAACAAAAUGACGGUACCCAAGGAAUCAGCAUCGGCUAACUCCGUGCCAGCAGCCGCGGUAAUACGGAGGAUGCAAGCGUUAUCCGGAAUUAUUGGGCGUAAAGCGUCCGCAGGUGGCACUUCAAGUCUGCUGUCAAAGACCGGGGCUUAACCCUGGAAAGGCAGUGGAAACUGAAGAGCUAGAGUGUCGUAGGGGUAGAGGGAAUUCCUGGUGUAGCGGUGAAAUGCGUAGAGAUCAGGAAGAACAUCGGUGGCGAAAGCGCUCUACUGGACGACAACUGACACUCAGGGACGAAAGCUAGGGGAGCGAAUGGGAUUAGAUACCCC
This 659-nucleotide ribosomal RNA is filed under the name Microcoleus glaciei CYN38. Its description in RNAcentral is "bacterial SSU rRNA". It matches the Rfam family "Bacterial small subunit ribosomal RNA", at positions 96 to 788 of the family's 1533-position model. RNAcentral also lists the same sequence under 1 other name. Lineage: Bacteria; Bacillati; Cyanobacteriota; Cyanophyceae; Oscillatoriales; Microcoleaceae. The record is from RNAcentral.